RNAcentral lists this ribosomal RNA (759 nucleotides) under uncultured archaeon. RNAcentral describes it as "bacterial SSU rRNA". It matches the Rfam family "Archaeal small subunit ribosomal RNA", at positions 102 to 859 of the family's 1478-position model. The record is from RNAcentral.
GGAUAACCUACCCUUAGGACUGGGAUAACCCUGGGAAACUGGGGCUAAUACCGGAUAGGCAAUUUUUCCUGUAAUGGUUCUUUGUUUAAAUGUUUUUUCGCCUAAGGAUGGGCCUGCGGCCGAUUAGGUAGUUGGUUAGGUAAUGGCUUACCAAGCCGUUGAUCGGUACGGGUUGUGAGAGCAAGAGCCCGGAGAUGGAACCUGAGACAAGGUUCCAGGCCCUACGGGGUGCAGCAGGCGCGAAACCUCCGCAAUGUGAGAAAUCGCGACGGGGGGAUCCCAAGUGCCAUUCUUAACGGGAUGGCUUUUCAUUAGUGUAAAGAGCUUUUGGAAUAAGAGCUGGGCAAGACCGGUGCCAGCCGCCGCGGUAACACCGGCAGCUCUAGUGGUAGCAAUUUUUAUUGGGCCUAAAGCGUCCGUAGCCGGUUUAAUAAGUCUCUGGUGAAAUCCUGCAGCUUAACUGUGGGAAUUGCUGGAGAUACUAUUAGACUUGAGACCGGGAGAGGUUAGAGGUACUCCCAGGGUAGAGGUGAAAUUCUGUAAUCCCGGGAGGACCGCCUGUUGCGAAGGCGUCUAACUGGAACGGUUCUGACGGUGAGGGACGAAAGUUAGGGGCGCGAACCGGAUUAGAUACCCGGGUAGUCCUAACUGUAAACGAUGCGGACUUGGUGUUGGGGGUGGCUUUGAGCUGCUUCAGUGCCGAAAGGGAAGCUGUUAAGUCCGCCGCCUGGGAAGUACGGUCGCAAGACUGAAACUUAA